GAUCUUUCUUUUCUACACGGAAGGCUAAAUGGGCCUGGAGUUGGGUAUUUCCUUCGAUGCAUGUUGGUUAGGAUUUGAUAAAAUAGUUUUCCUUGCAGGAAAGGCCUUGUUAAGGAGAACAGAGAGCUUUGGACAUACUUCAAAGAAUCUCAGACCAGAGUAGAACAUCUGUCAAGGAUAUGAGAACGAAGAAUAAGGAGCAAAGAGGCUUUGAAAGGUGAAGGUGAAGGAAGAAUAAAAGAACACUUUCACUGAAAAGUGGUCACGCUAUUAACAAUGUUUUCCAGCCUGCCUUGCAUUGAAGUGAGUCCAAGUGCUGAGUUCUUAUCUAUGGAACGUGAAAGGGUAUAAUGAGUAUCAUUCCUGGACUAAAGUAUUUGUGAGCCAGGUGUGCCUCCACUGUAUUGCUUGUCCUUCUCCUAGGAGGAUGAAAAGAACAUUCAGGUUCCCAGAGACAGAGAAAAAAAGCACAGAAUGGAAAGAACUUGCAUACGUGAAGUAUCACCUGGAAGCCAGCUCCCAUUAACCGAGAAC
Long non-coding RNA from Symphalangus syndactylus (siamang), 534 nucleotides. RefSeq lists it as uncharacterized. The record is from RefSeq and is a predicted model, not a curated record. Lineage: Eukaryota; Metazoa; Chordata; Mammalia; Primates; Hylobatidae.